AAAUCCGUUAUUUUGCAUCAGUUGUCUCAAGAUGUUCGUCAAAGCACUUUUUCUAGUAGCCUGCCUUUUCCUCAUUCAAAAUGUCGAGGUGAAUGGAAUGAAGAUUGACCUUAAAAAACUACUACACACCGUAUUGAAAUUGGUAAUAUCACUUGUGCAGAAUAUCCAGAAGUUACUGUGUCAUCUGAAUUUAUGUAAUGCAUUAGCACCCUUACUGGAUGGUGUAAAAGGUCUAGUAAAAAAUAUAGAAGUAUAAACCAUAAAUAUGUCAUUAUAAUUAUACAAGGAUGUAUUUGUGAAAAUAAAGUAUACAAAUAAA
This is a long non-coding RNA of Aethina tumida (small hive beetle), 319 nucleotides long. RefSeq lists it as uncharacterized. Lineage: Eukaryota; Metazoa; Arthropoda; Insecta; Coleoptera; Nitidulidae. The record is from RefSeq and is a predicted model, not a curated record. The transcript has 2 exons.